ACUUCCUCCAGCACCUUCUAAGCCUCCUCAGACUGCACCAUCGACUGAGGACCAGGUCCACGACACCCGAACCAUGGAAACCAGAGCUUCGAUUCCCUUUCAGACACGGGCCUCAGCAUCUUGUUGCCAAUGGAAGGAGGAUUCAGGUCAUUCCUUAGAAGGAAAGCCAUCUCAGUAAAUGAGCCUACAGUUGAGAGACUUUGAGUGUAUAAAAAGGAGAAUUUUGGCUGGUUAUGGCAGCACACACCUUUAAUCUCAGUGUUCAGGAGGCAGAAGCAGAUGGAUCCCUGUGAAUUCAAGGCCAGUCUGAUCUACAAAGCCAGUUCAAGGACAGCCAGGCUACACAGA
This is a non-coding RNA of Peromyscus maniculatus bairdii (prairie deer mouse), 348 nucleotides long. The record is from RefSeq and is a predicted model, not a curated record. Lineage: Eukaryota; Metazoa; Chordata; Mammalia; Rodentia; Cricetidae.